GGCUAGGUGGCGGAGUGGUUAACGCGGUAGACUCGAAUCGUCAAGAUUGGCGAUGUUUAGAUAUCUACUUCCUUCGGGAGCGUCUGUUCGAAUCAGGCCCUAGUCG
Molecule: non-coding RNA, 106 nt
Organism: Nemania abortiva
Lineage: Eukaryota; Fungi; Ascomycota; Sordariomycetes; Xylariales; Xylariaceae
Source: the annotation of a GenBank genome assembly